RNAcentral lists this ribosomal RNA (463 nucleotides) under uncultured bacterium. RNAcentral's name for it is "partial 16S ribosomal RNA". It matches the Rfam family "Bacterial small subunit ribosomal RNA", at positions 30 to 507 of the family's 1533-position model. The record is from RNAcentral.
CGAACGCUGGCGGCGUGCUUAACACAUGCACGUCGAACGGAAAGGCCCCUUUGGGGGUACUCGAGUGGCGAACGGGUGCGUAACACGUGAGUAACCUGCCCUUGACUUCGGGAUAACUUCAGGAAACUGGGGCUAAUACCGGAUAGGAAUCCUUGCUGCAUGGUGGGGGUUGGAAAGCUUCGGCGGUUUUGGAUGGACUCGCGGCUUAUCAGCUUGUUGGUGGGGUAGUGGCUUACCAAGGCUUUGACGGGUAGCCGGCCUGAGAGGGCGACCGGCCACAUUGGGACUGAGAUACGGCCCAGACUCCUACGGGAGGCAGCAGUGGGGAAUAUUGCACAAGGGGCGGAAGCCUGAUGCAGCAACGCCGCGUGCGGGAUGACGGCCUUCGGGUUGUAAACCGCUUUCAGCAGGGGCGAAGCUUGUGGUGACGGUACCUGCAGAAGAAGCACCGGCUAACUACGUG